UGAAAGUCACCAAGGGGCUAAAAUUGGAGCGAUUCAGAGAUUAGCAUGGGCCCUGCACAAGGACUGCAGGCAAAUUUGUGAAGCACUCCAUGUUUCU
Molecule: small nuclear RNA, 97 nt
Filed under: Otolemur garnettii (small-eared galago)
Lineage: Eukaryota; Metazoa; Chordata; Mammalia; Primates; Galagidae
Source: RNAcentral